This 462-nucleotide ribosomal RNA is filed under the name uncultured bacterium. Its description in RNAcentral is "SSU rRNA". It matches the Rfam family "Bacterial small subunit ribosomal RNA", at positions 26 to 518 of the family's 1533-position model. The record is from RNAcentral.
AGAAUCAACGCUGGCGGCGUGCCUAACACAUGCAAGUCGAACGAGAAAGUGGAGCAAUCCAUGAGUAAAGUGGCGCACGGGUGAGUAACACGUGACUAACCUACCCUUGAGUGGGGGAUAACCUAGAGAAAUCUGGGCUAAUACCGCAUAAUACCUUCGGGUCAAAGGAGCAAUUCGCUUAAGGAGGGGGUCGCGGCCGAUUAGUUAGUUGGCGGGGUAAUGGCCCACCAAGACUGUGAUCGGUAUCCGGCCUGAGAGGGCGCACGGACACACUGGAACUGAAACACGGUCCAGACUCCUACGGGAGGCAGCAGUGGGGAAUUUUGCGCAAUGGGGGAAACCCUGACGCAGCAACGCCGCGUGGAGGAUGAAGCCCCGUUGGGGCGUAAACUCCUUUCGAUCGGGAAGAUAAUGACGGUACCGAGAGAAGAACGCCCCGGCUAACUUCGUGCCAGCAGCCGC